Molecule: transfer RNA, 75 nt
Filed under: Alphaproteobacteria bacterium
Lineage: Bacteria; Pseudomonadati; Pseudomonadota; Alphaproteobacteria
Description: tRNA-Asn
Rfam family: tRNA
About the family: Transfer RNA (tRNA) molecules are approximately 80 nucleotides in length. Their secondary structure includes four short double-helical elements and three loops (D, anti-codon, and T loops).
Source: RNAcentral
UCCGACUUAGCUCAGCGGUAGAGCAAUCGGCUGUUAACCGAUUGGUCAUCUGUUCGAAUCAGAUAGUCGGAGCCA